UAAUACGAGUGCCCCGAGCGUUAUCCGGAAUUAUUGGGCGUAAAGGGUGCGUAGGUGGUGGUAUUAGUCUUAUGUUAAAUCCCUCGGCUCAACCGAGGAUUCGCAUAGGAAACGGUACCACUAGAGGAUGUGAGAGGUGUGUAGAACUCAUGGAGUAGGGGUGAAAUCCGCUGAUAUCAUGAGGAAUACCAAAAGCGAAGGCAGCACACUGGCACAUUUCUGACACUGAAGCACGAAAGCGUGGGUAGCGAAUGGG
RNAcentral lists this ribosomal RNA (256 nucleotides) under uncultured bacterium. RNAcentral's name for it is "partial 16S ribosomal RNA". It matches the Rfam family "Bacterial small subunit ribosomal RNA", at positions 521 to 776 of the family's 1533-position model. The record is from RNAcentral.